Eriocheir sinensis (Chinese mitten crab) is the source of this 1635-nucleotide long non-coding RNA. RefSeq lists it as uncharacterized. The transcript has 3 exons. The record is from RefSeq and is a predicted model, not a curated record. NCBI's taxonomy places the organism in Eukaryota, Metazoa, Arthropoda, Malacostraca, Decapoda, Varunidae.
GCAGUGAGUGACUCAGUGAGAGACAAGCUGCAAAGUAAAAUGGGAAGAAAUAGACCUUAGGCCCCGAGACCAGGGUGGCAAUCACACUAAGAUAUUUAGCCACAGGAAAAAUGCAACAGUGCAGUUGUGAUGAUUUCGGAACAACACAGCCUACUAUCAGCCGUGCAAUCUCACAGACAAUAGAUGCACCGGCCGAUCCGGAAGUACUCUGCCAGUUUGUGGAAUUUCCUCACACUCAACGUGAAGUGCAGCAAAGACAGGCGGAGUUUACGCAGGCAACCCAGUUUUCCGGUGGUGUGGGAGUGAUUGAUGGUACUCAUAUAAGAACUGUGGUUCCUCAUGUCAAUAAGCAUUUAUAUGUGAACAGAAAACGUCAUCAUACCAUAAAUGUGCAGGUAGUGUUUGAUGUUCAUUACAGAAUUCUUGACAUUGUGUCAAGGUGGCCUGGCUCAGUCCAUGAUGCAAGAAUAUUGGAUGAGUCAGGACUAAAAUUCAUGUUUGAGGAAAAACAUGUACCUGCAGGAUGCUACCUCCUUGGGGACAGUGGUUAUCCCUGCCAGCACUGGCUCCUGACCCCAUCCAUACCUGAACCCUCCAACUGCUGCACAGACCAAUUAUAACAGAGUUCAUAGGAAGGCACGCAGCAUUGUGGAACGAGGCAUUGGACAACUUAACCCGGUAGCAGCGGAGAUCAUGUUUCUUAAUGGUCCCUCCAAGCGAGAAAAAUGAGAAAAAAUCACCCCUCACACAAACCAUUUCAUAAUAUAUAUCAAAGCAUUUGUAAUCAGAUUACGUAUCAUCUAUUUUGGGGGGUUUAAAUCAUGGCAGAAAUUUGGCCCGUCGCUGCUACACGGUAAAGCCACAAAUUUGGCCCAUUGCUACUACCAGGUUAAAAGAAGAUAUCAUGUCUUGCGUAGUGAAGUGCAUCUCAGCCCAGAAAAGACGUGCAAGAUGAUAAAUGUCUGUACAGUGCUUCACAUUUGUGAGGCUUGGAACAUCCCUGUGCCUGACGACAAUGUUGAGGAUGCGAUGGAAGAAGCAGGUGAAGCAGAUCAGGGUGCACAGUUGCAUCUAGAUCCAGCCAUUCCUGCUGCCCACAAUGCACACCCAUUCUGGGAUUAUAUUGCCAAACUUCAUUUCAAUGAGGAGUGAAAUCUUCACGUUACCUGUCAACCCUGUCAUUCCAACAUCACUUGUAUCUUCAUGUGGAGCAUGUGGACAACAAGCCUCUCUUUUUAUCUUCUAUCGAUAUUUCCACGCUGACUGCUCUUCUGAACUUGCUAACUGCAUGCUUCCCCAACUCCCGCAGCCUCGCCACACACGACUUUCUACUCAAGCUCAUCCCUUUACUGUCCAAAUCCCUUAUGCAAGAGUUAACCAGCAUCUUCACUCUUUCAUCCCUCACGCUGGUAAACUCUGGAACAAUCUUCCUUCAUCUGUAUUUCCUCCUGCCUACGACUUGAACUUUUUCAAAAGGAGGGUAUCAGGACACCUCUCCUCCUGAAACUGACCUAGCUUUCGGCCACUCCUCUAACUCUUUAUAGGAGCAGUGAGCAGCGAGCUUUUUUUCCACAUUUGUUACCUUUUCUUUAUGCCCUUGAAUGGACUCCUCUGCUGUAAAAAAAAAAAAAAAAA